GUGAACGCUGGCGGUAGGCCUAACACAUGCAAGUCGAACGGCAGCACAGUAAGAGCUUGCUCUUACGGGUGGCGAGUGGCGGACGGGUGAGGAAUACAUCGGAAUCUACUUUUUCGUGGGGGAUAACGUAGGGAAACUUACGCUAAUACCGCAUACGACCUACGGGUGAGAGCAGGGGAUCUUCGGACCUUGCGCGAUUGAAUGAGCCGAUGUCGGAUUAGCUAGUUGGCGGGGUAAAGGCCCACCAAGGCGACGAUCCGUAGCUGGUCUGAGAGGAUGAUCAGCCACACUGGAACUGAGACACGGUCCAGACUCCUACGGGAGGCAGCAGUGGGGAAUAUUGGACAAUGGGCGCAAGCCUGAUCCAGCCAUACCGCGUGGGUGAAGAAGGCCUUCGGGUUGUAAAGCCCUUUUGUUGGGAAAGAAAAGCAGCAGGUUAAUACCCCGCUGUUCUGACGGUACCCAAAGAAUAAGCACCGGCUAACUUCGUG
This 491-nucleotide ribosomal RNA is filed under the name uncultured bacterium. Its description in RNAcentral is "partial 16S ribosomal RNA". It matches the Rfam family "Bacterial small subunit ribosomal RNA", at positions 29 to 507 of the family's 1533-position model. The record is from RNAcentral.